This 253-nucleotide ribosomal RNA is filed under the name uncultured bacterium. Its description in RNAcentral is "partial 16S ribosomal RNA". It matches the Rfam family "Bacterial small subunit ribosomal RNA", at positions 524 to 776 of the family's 1533-position model. The record is from RNAcentral.
UACAGAGAGUGCGAGCGUUAAUCGGAAUUACUGGGCGUAAAGCGCAUGUAGGUGGAUAUUUAAGUCGGAUGUGAAAUCCCUGGGCUUAACCUGGGAAUCGCAUUCGAUACUGGAUAUCUCGAGUAUGGUAGAGGGAAGUGGAAUUUCCGGUGUAGCGGUGAAAUGCGUAGAUAUCGGAAAGAACAUCAGUGGCGAAGGCGGCUUCCUGGCCCAAUACUGACACUAAAGUGCGAAAGCGUGGGGAGCAAACAGG